GGCGGACGGGUGAGUAAUGCAUAGGAAUCUGCCCGAUAGUGGGGGAUAACCUGGGGAAACCCAGGCUAAUACCGCAUACGUCCUACGGGAGAAAGGGGGCUCCGGCUCCCGCUAUCGGAUGAGCCUAUGUCGGAUUAGCUGGUUGGUGAGGUAAAGGCUCACCAAGGCGACGAUCCGUAGCUGGUCUGAGAGGAUGAUCAGCCACAUCGGGACUGAGACACGGCCCGAACUCCUACGGGAGGCAGCAGUGGGGAAUAUUGGACAAUGGGGGCAACCCUGAUCCAGCCAUGCCGCGUGUGUGAAGAAGGCCCUCGGGUUGUAAAGCACUUUCAGUGAGGAAGAACGCCUGGUGGUUAAUACCCAUCAGGAAAGACAUCACUCACAGAAGAAGCACCGGCUAACUCCGUGCCAGCAGCCGCGGCAAUACGGAGGGUGCGAGCGUUAAUCGGAAUUACUGGGCGUAAAGCGCGCGUAGGUGGCUUGAUAAGCCGGUUGUGAAAGCCCCGGGCUCAACCUGGGAACGGCAUCCGGAACUGUCAAGCUAGAGUGCAGGAGAGGAAGGUAGAAUUCCCGGUGUAGCGGUGAAAUGCGUAGAGAUCGGGAGGAAUACCAGUGGCGAAGGCGGCCUUCUGGACUGACACUGACACUGAGGUGCGAAAGCGUGGGUAGCAAACAGGAUUAGAUACCCUGGUAGUCCACGCCGUAAACGAUGUCGACCAGCCGUUGGGUGCCUAGCGCACUUUGUGGCGAAGUUAACGCGAUAAGUCGACC
Molecule: ribosomal RNA, 771 nt
Filed under: uncultured Halomonas sp.
Lineage: Bacteria; Pseudomonadati; Pseudomonadota; Gammaproteobacteria; Oceanospirillales; Halomonadaceae
Description: bacterial SSU rRNA
Rfam family: Bacterial small subunit ribosomal RNA
Source: RNAcentral